This 500-nucleotide ribosomal RNA is filed under the name uncultured bacterium. RNAcentral's name for it is "partial 16S ribosomal RNA". It matches the Rfam family "Bacterial small subunit ribosomal RNA", at positions 30 to 523 of the family's 1533-position model. The record is from RNAcentral.
AUUGAAUGCUGGCGGCAUGCUUUACACAUGCAAGUCGAACGGUAACAGGGUGCUUGCACCGCUGACGAGUGGCGAACGGGUGAGUAAUGCGUCGGAACGUGCCGAGUAGUGGGGGAUAACGCAGCGAAAGUUGUGCUAAUACCGCAUACGUACUGAGGUAGAAAGUGGGGGACCUUCGGGCCUCACGCUAUUCGAGCGGCUGACGUCUGAUUAGCUAGUAGGUGAGGUAAAGGCUCACCUAGGCGACGAUCAGUAGCGGGUCUGAGGGGAUGAUCCGCCACACUGGGACUGAGACACGGCCCAGACUCCUACGGGAGGCAGCAGUGGGGAAUUUUGGACAAUGGGCGAAAGCCUGAUCCAGCCAUGCCGCGUGUCUGAAGAAGGCCUUCGGGUUGUAAAGGACUUUUGUCAGGGAGGAAAUCCCUAGUGCUAAUAACACUGGGGGAUGACAGUACCUGAAGAAUAAGCACCGGCUAACUACGUGCCAGCCGCCGCCGUAA